This is a small nuclear RNA of Lutra lutra (Eurasian river otter), 107 nucleotides long. Lineage: Eukaryota; Metazoa; Chordata; Mammalia; Carnivora; Mustelidae. The record is from RefSeq and is a predicted model, not a curated record.
GUAUUCACUUCAGUAGUACCUAUACUAAAGUUGAAAAGAUACGGAGAAGAUUAACAAGGCCUUUGUGAAAAGAUGACAUGUAAAUACAUGUAGGAUUCCAUAUUUUA